UACGUAGGGCGCAAGCGUUAUCCGGAAUUAUUGGGCGUAAAGAGCUCGUAGGCGGUCUGUCGCGUCUGCUGUGAAAACUCAGGGCUUAACCCUGAGCUUGCAGUGGGUACGGGCAGACUAGAGUGCGGUAGGGGAGACUGGAAUUCCUGGUGUAGCGGUGAAAUGCGCAGAUAUCAGGAGGGAACACCGGUGGCGAAGGCGGGGUCUCUGGGCCGUAACUGACGCUGGAGGAGCGAAAAGCAUGGGGAGCGAACAGG
This 257-nucleotide ribosomal RNA is filed under the name uncultured bacterium. Its description in RNAcentral is "partial 16S ribosomal RNA". It matches the Rfam family "Bacterial small subunit ribosomal RNA", at positions 524 to 776 of the family's 1533-position model. The record is from RNAcentral.